RNAcentral lists this ribosomal RNA (253 nucleotides) under uncultured Eubacteriales bacterium. Its description in RNAcentral is "uncultured Clostridiales bacterium partial 16S ribosomal RNA". It matches the Rfam family "Bacterial small subunit ribosomal RNA", at positions 524 to 776 of the family's 1533-position model. The record is from RNAcentral. Lineage: Bacteria; Bacillati; Bacillota; Clostridia; Eubacteriales.
UACGUAGGGGGCAAGCGUUAUCCGGAAUUACUGGGUGUAAAGGGAGCGUAGACGGUGAUGUAAGUCUGGAGUGAAAGGCGGGGGCCCAACCCCCGGACUGCUCUGGAAACUAUAUGACUGGAGUGCAGGAGAGGUGAGCGGAAUUCCUAGUGUAGCGGUGAAAUGCGUAGAUAUUAGGAGGAACACCGAUUGCGCAGGCAGCUUGCUAAUCCGCAUCUGACGCUGAUGCACGAAAGCGUGGGUAGCGAACAGG